Siniperca chuatsi (mandarin fish) is the source of this 6824-nucleotide long non-coding RNA. RefSeq lists it as uncharacterized. NCBI's taxonomy places the organism in Eukaryota, Metazoa, Chordata, Actinopteri, Centrarchiformes, Sinipercidae. The transcript has 2 exons. The record is from RefSeq and is a predicted model, not a curated record.
GCUACGGUGGCUGCAGAGAUACAGUGGUGGGACUGCAAGAACUGUGAUUGUCAGUUUGAGCUGCUUAUGUUUUCUGUUAAGUUUUUGAUGCCGGCAGGGAUUGUUGAUAGUGAAGACGAAGGAAGUUGAAGAAAGACUCUGGAGUCAUUUCAGUAACACACAUCUAGCAAAGUAAAUACAGUUACUGUGGGGAGUUAACUAGCGUCUUGAAUCUGAGACAGGACAGGAGAUCAGACAGGAAAUCAGUCAUUUUCUCCAUUAGAAGCAGCUGUACGAAACUGUCUGAGCAAAAACAGGCAAACCUACAUGCAUGGGGCUGCUUUUAUUUAUAUCCGCAGUACUGGGUCUUCCAGUGUUUUUUUUUAAUGAUGAAUGCAGACUACCGCCACCUGCUGGUAUGGAGAAUUAUUACCUAUUGCGCUGGCCACGAUGUCAGAAUCAGAAAUAUACAUGCUAGUUGGCUGAUUGCUGUAGUCGGUGCGGUAUGUUCUAAUGUCACUUUUUGGCCAAGACACGGGCGACAUGAGGCGACGCAGCAGUCGGCUUUUGUUUGCCGCUAGUUUUUUGACAUCAGUUUGAUGUGUCAGAGCCUUAACAUGCAAAAACAUGCAGCAAAGCGCCAACAAAGGCAGGGAAGAGGAAGACUGCAAUCUAGUAAAGAUGGAUGUAAACAAUGCAGGAUUUAAAAUACAUCGGAUUUGCUAAUGUUUUAUGAGGAAGAAAUGCAUUCAACACAUUUGUUAGCGCUCAAGGAUACACACAAUGUGUUUUGGUGAAUGUAAACAACUUUUCUUUGUUUACAAGAAAACUCCACAGGGCACCUUUAAAGCCUGAUGAUGUACAAUACAUCUAUCUGGUGUUGUGGUGGUGCUAUCAGGUGAAAUCCAACACUAUAAAUCAAAAUCUACGCCAUCGGUGUCUAUUGGUGACCACCAUUAACCGCUUGCAUCAAGUAGAAAUCCAGCUUUAUGUGGCAACACACUUGGCUAGUCAAACACGAGCAAGCACACAUUUAUGGUCGAUUCCUUUGUAAUAUGAAUAAUUCUACUGUUAAACAAUCAUUGAGACAGAAUACAAAAUUACUGCUGCCAGAGUUGUUAAAUCUUGUGCAGUAUUUAGACACUGAAUAAGCCUUAAAACUCAGGAAUGUAUUAAUCAGACUAGGUUUCCUGAAUCCUAUUUAAGUUUUUUGCCUAUAUCUGUCAAAACAUGGACACACCAAAUGUAGCCCCUUGCCUUUUCUUUUUUUUUUUUUUUUUUUCCCCACACACUGUGAUUUUUGGUCUGGACACCAUCAUAAAAUGUUUAGAUGUUUAGAAGUUUUACAGAGUGCAGAUUCAACAUGUUUACUAUGUGACACUGGACGAAACUGAAGAAUUCCCUUUAAUCUUGUGGUAAGAGGGCCUGCCAUGCCCCAUGAUCUUAAGGGUUCAGAUGAACAGGUAGCAGUGAUUAGGUCUGGGUGCAGUGGUCUGUGGAAGGCAGAGCAAACAGGCAGCAGAAUGAGGCUCUAUUGCGUGAGUAUCUGGAGGUAGAGGAGAGGUGAGCCUCAAUGGCCUUACUUACACUCUACACUGUUAGCCCACAUUGUUGGCCCUGACCGGUUUCAUUUUAUUGUUACAUUGCAAGUUAAUUUGAAAUCACAGAACAUUCCCGUCAGUGACUGGCGUAGCACACACACCGACGCACAUAUUCACCUACACAGAUGCGCAUACAAACUUGUGCCGCACAUUCACUCAUCCUCCAUUCCACUAUGUUGGGACGCAGAGUAGGUAAUCUACAUUAUUCAUCUUAACAGUGUAGUAGAUAGCCAAGGGUGCACACUUUUUUUGCCUUACUCUUACCACAUGCUUGCUUUCCUGUAUGACUUCCCAUUGUCUACUCACCUCUCUGUGUGUUCAUGGGCUUCCCAGAUCCAAACAGUGUCUGAGUCCAAUCAGAUGUUAAAUACAAUAGUAACCAAGGCGCAUUCAGAUGACUGAUGGUCGCGUGAUAAAAAUGUUUAUAUUUCUGUCUAAAUCUAUAUUUCAUGGCAGAUUGAAUACAAAAAAUAUAUCAUUUUUCUUUGUAUGAAUUUUGUUUAUUUGGGGAACAACUGAACACUGCAUUUAUUUCAUUAUGUUAUGUAAGCAAUUAGCCUGAUGGAAGGGGCUAAACCUCACCUCAAGGGUGGAGGAGUCAGUCUCAGCUGGGAUACAGAGAAGGUAACAUCUACUGAUUUACACUUGAGCGUUUAAGUAAUUUUUUUAAAGAUUCAUUUAAGAUUUUUUGCACAAAUUUGCACUUUGGGAGGCCCACGCGAUAAAUUUCAUCCAUCACUACAACUAUAUUCCUUUUUGAGAUGGUAAAGGUAGAACCUUGACGUGACAAUCAUGUAAAGGAAUGGAGGGACCUUGGUUUGUCAGUGCUUUUUGGCUACAGCUCACAGCUUAGUCAAUAGAGUGAACAAAACAAUCUGAAAGAUGUCUCGCUUACAAUGUUGAGUCAAACCAAUGUGCGUGUGUGUGUGUGUGUGUGUGUGUGUGCGUGUGAAAGCGAAAGAGAGCACAUUCCACCUUGGAUAAUGAUGUAAGGCCUUGACAUUUCUACAAAGCAACAUUCUUUUCUGACGCUCCUUAAAUUGUUGACAUCACAAAGUGAGCAUGAAAUCAUUGGCUACAACCAAUGAGGCAGCAGGAGGACGUCCGGCUCCUCCCUCCCAGGAACCAGUCUUGUUCCUCAGAGAGAAGUCAUGCUACAGCAAAACAGCUCCUUACAAAGCCAGGAAGGAAAAGACUGAAAGCGGAGCACCUAUGAGGCACCUGGAUCUAGGCCCUGUUAGUUCAUGCGAGCCCGAAUUCACCCAUCACACAAUGCUGCACCCAUUAUACAUACACAAAGGGAGAGGAGGACAGAAAAGAUCACACACUCACACACAGGUACACACUUGGGUCAAUACUACCUCAUCAGCUCUUAAAUUAAUGAGGGUGGUCCAGACACCAUGUUGGUAAUGAGACAAUUAACUCCUCAUCUGGCAUUUUCAUCCAACAGCUCUUGAACAACAGAACAGCCGGUCGCCAUGGGCGCAGGAGUCAGAGAGGAGGUGGGGGUGACAGGGAGGUGAGGUGGGGCUGAAACAGGUAAACAAGGUAAUUCAAGGAAUGUCAGAGACGAGGACAGCUGAUGGAGAAGGCGAGGAGGCAGCGAGAGAGGGGAACGAGUCAAAGGCCAAAGAGGAGAAAGAGCGUGGAGCGAGAGAAGAAAGCAGAAAUAAGUAAUACAUUGAUGGAGAAGACGGGAGAAAGAGAAGAAGGAGCAAGCGUCAAAAUCGAAGCAAUUACCCACCAUACCAUGUUCCUGUCCUUUAACCUCUCUGCAGCACUCAUGGGAGAGGACAGAAGGUGUAAGAGUGCUCUGAGCUGUCAGCACCUGUGUCUUCUCUGACCUAAUCAUUAACAGGAGGGUCCCUAGGUGAGCUACAGGACACUUUAAGUGUGCAAUGACUGUCCAUACGUUAGGGUAUACAUCUGCACAUCACACUGGCAGAGACAACAGCCAACACCGGGGUCAAUCCACAGACGUACUGAAUAAGGAAAAAGACGAGACGUUUGAUGCACUCUUUGCACUUGCAGCCUUGAAUCUACAUUUAUAGACGUUUUUGACUCAAAACAGAAGAUUGAGCUGUUUUGGCCCCCUCUAUAUUCUCAUUUGCCAUCAAUUAUUCAGAUUGAUAUGUCAGUGUAUGGUAUUCUUUAGUGAGCGGAAAAGCAACAUCCUUUUGCAGCAGAAUUGCUGGCAACAAACCAUCUCCCUGGUGUGCUCCUACGCAGUACAGCAUUUCAGUUUUCUAUGGCCCAUUAUGGUCAGCCCUAUUUAGCAUGUAAUCACGUCUCAAUAAGUAACACUAUUUCAACACUGCUUGGAUCAAUGCUCCCCAGCGUUGCACGUGGAUCAGGAGAAAUCGAUUUGUCCCUUGUCAGACGAGACUCAUUCGUGCCCUGCUGCUCUGUGGUGCAAAAAAGCAGAUGCCUGAGGACGGAGAUGUAUGAAGGAGGCGUUGCUGCUGCGUCAGGGAGACAGAAGAGGAAAAGGGGGGGGAUUAUUAUGACGUAAUAUCGAUCCAAGUUGGAAAACAAGCCCAGGAUGCAGGACGCUGCAGGGGAACGGAUGCUCAAUCGAUCCAAUCCCUGGUGCCAGACAAAGCACAGGAUUAUGGAUGCUCGCAUGGAGAAAUAAAUGGAUAGGGGAAUGCAUGGAUGGUUAGACAGGCAGACUGAGAGAUAAAAACAGAUAGGACAGAUAAAUCUUGGGGCCCGGCAACAGAGAAAUGUGAACUGACUCACACGAAAUAAGCCAAAAGGGGGAAAAAGGAAGUCUUACACAUGCUGCAGAAUGUACAUAUUGAAAAUGUAAAUUUUAAUACUGCGGAUGUGAUUUUAUGUUAAACCGACUCUACAAUUGGCAUUAUAUAACAGUCAAUUACAAUUAGCAUGGAACAGCAUGCUUUGAGCCAAGCCCAGCAUGCUUGGGCCAAUGUGUGGACAUCACUAGGCCUGGUCACUUUAUCCCUCUUCCCCUCAUACUCACUCCUAAGAACAAUAGGGAAAUUUGAAGCCAGUACACCAGGUACAUAUAAAGGCAUUUUUGGUUUAGAUGCUCUUGAGGAAAUGGAAAUAACAAAAUAGUUAUAGGAACGAGCAGGUUGUUUUUGUUGUAAAUUCUGGCCAGUUUGUGCCUGCUCUUGCUGGCAGUUUGUGCAUCGUGUUGGAUCAGACCAUCGAUGGUGCAGAGCCGCAGAUGGGGAAUGAUGUUGACCAGAUUGUGUCUCUGCAGCCUCAAAAAGACUUAAAACCUGCGUCCUCCACGGAUUACUGACGUCUUGUAGGAAAUUGGCCUAAUCCAAAACAAAUCCAGUGGGAUAUUUUCUCGUAAUUCAUCGCUUGUGGUGACUGUCCUUUUAACCACAGGCAGACACGUUUGGCAGAUCUUUUGUUCUCACGCUUCACUGGCUGUGGCCUCAAGACAUCAUUCUAACAGACAUUGUUAGCCAGCCGGGAGUCAGCGUCAUUACACAAGAGCUGCAUUACAAAUGCAAGAUAAGUAAUCCUUUGCAGAUUAAUGAUAAAAUGUUUAAAAUGUGUAUUUGGAUGGAUUAAAUGCUACUAAUUUUUUUUUAUUUCUCAUUUAUUAGUUAAAUACAUGAUUUAUUCUACUCUAUAAGCUCACGUUUUAAAGGAAUCAUUCAUACCCAUGAUUAACUAUUAUUUCAGAUUAAAUAGUUUUAUUCCAAAAGGCUUUAUAUUGACUGUGCAACUAAACUGUUACUUGUAAGAAUUACACUAUCUUUAACCUUAGUCUUGUAGUUUUGAACUAACAAUAUGUUUACAGUUAUUCAUCCAUGAAAUAUUGGUCUGCACAGACAGACACACACACACACACACACACACACACUCAGAGCAAAAGGCUGGUGGUGUUAUUAACCACUGUGUCCUGGCAACCUUCGUUAACUACAAUCUGCAUCUGUGCCUAAGCCUCCCUCUGGUCCCCUUGCUUCCCCUCUCCCCUCUCACCGCUACUCUCAUUCUUGCUACACUCAGUGUUGAACCCAAAUUACCUCCUCCUCCUUAAUUGAAAUCAACAGGACCAGAUCAGGUCAUGCAGUGUUUUUUUGUUAGAGCCCUCCCUGAGAGUAGCGUGGCCAUUUCCCUCCUCACCUCUCAUUUUGUCCUCACAGGGUCCCGGUCGCCAAUUAGCCCCGGCUUAUGAACCAACCCCAACCAAGCGCUUCCUCCCUUCCGAAACCCCUUACAUAAAGGGAUCAGGAGUCAGACAUAUGCCCUUAUGUCUCCCGACGCUGCUGCAGACCCCACGCCCCCGCAGCCAAAGCCGGCAGAUGACAGAUGAUGUGGGGAAAAAAGCAACAGGGACGGGGAGAAACAAAAAGGAAACACGAAAAAAAAGAACAGAAAAAAAGUCAAAGAAGGAAAAGAGGGAAUCAGAGGAGUGCAUCAUAAUCGAUCAACCCAGCCUAUGACUUUCAUUCAUCCACCAGAAUUAGUUUUUCUCUUAACUACUGUUAAUUUAAUGGUAAAGUGAUGUAGGUCCUCACUGUGUGGUAUUCUCACAUUAUCUGUUGUGUUGCUUUGUAAUGCAGCAUAUGUAGGUCGCUAGACAGAUCAAUAGAUAGCAUGAUUGAGAGGUUUCAGCUUGGGAUUUACAGCACCCCCCACCCAAGGCAAUGAAUUGGUCCAGCCAUCCCUUCUCCGGUGAACAAGGCAGAGGGAAGUGGGAGGACCAAAGGUGUUGCCAUGGAAGGGCCUGUGCAUAAAUAGCAUGGCUGUGAGGAAAGAAAAGAGAGAGGGGUUAGAGGGCUGUUGCUGUCUCUUCACACUGACAUACAAACACUGAGCCUCUCUGAUCCUUCCCAUCUGAGCUAUCAGCAGAGCUCUGAUUUCACCAGCAUAUUCUGUGCAAAGAUGUGGUUGAAGUCUCCGGUGCAUUAUCCCCGUGUUGCCUGUGUUAUUUGAAUUUACUGGCCUCCCUGCUACUGUCUGUGGUUUGCGAGUCCAGAGAAAUAAAUUAGAAAGGGAACAGAGAGAAUAUGAUGUCAGAGAGUCCUAUUUGAUGAGACCAGACCCAACACCACCACAAAGAGACCAGGGCCCUUAUCAGUCAGGCAUAGUCCCAAAUCCAGGCUUAUUCUCACUCUUACAUUUUGCUGUCUUGCACUCUCCUCUCUACUGUCUCACACCAUCAUUCACUGCUCCUUGUCCUCUUUCUUAUCCUAUGUGCUACUUUAAUUUCCAUUGUGUCCCAUCCCAUCCCACCCCCCACUCCAACCCCAA